Long non-coding RNA from Gallus gallus (chicken), 8197 nucleotides. The record is from Ensembl. NCBI's taxonomy places the organism in Eukaryota, Metazoa, Chordata, Aves, Galliformes, Phasianidae.
AUAUACUUUGAGAUGAGGAAGAUGAACAUACAGGGUAAAACCAAGAAAAGGAACUGGUUGAUCCAAAAACAUUUUCUUCUGAGAUAUGGACCGAAGCCCACAACCCUUACACCUUUUGCUCAUACUGACGAUCCCUAUUCUGCAACAAAUGCAUAGUUUGGCUUUGAUACAAAAUCAGAGUCCUUAUAACAUGAGAUGAAAGAUCCCGAGGCCCUUCUUGCAAGGACAGUUAUGAACUCCUCUGUUGUGCUUCAAACCUAAAUAAUUCUACUCUUUUUUUUCAAAGAAAAUUCCUCAUAGCUUUAGCCAAAAUCAUUCUUCACUUCCUCUGCUGGCUUCUCUUGAAUGGUGGGUGAAGAGAGGUCACAGGUAUGAAGCUGCCUAGGAUUCUUCCAGGCUGCUGAUUAUUGAUAUGCAAACCAACAGUCACCACUGCAGACUAAAACAAAAUGUGAAACAGGCUUUUAAAAGAAAAGUCUGUCCAGGUAUCAUUUUAGGUUGUAAGAAAGGUUAAUUCUCCAAUUUGUUGAUCAGGGCUUGCUAGGAGGACUGACCAGACCUCAGUGUGAUCACAUCAGUGGUCCUCACCUGAAAGUGAAACCUGAAGGCUUGGAUUGCUCAAUGCUGCCAUAGGAAGGCACAGACUUUGAAAGCAGCAACUCCUUCCUCUUACAAAUUUGCAGUGUAUUCUCCCUUUUUCCACUCUGUACCACUGAGCAUGAUGAUGGUAGCUGGAGGGAACUUUUGUUUGUUUCUCUGUUUUGUUUUGUUUUUCCCUGACUUUAUUUUUGAGAUGUUAGUUACAUUAUUUGAGGGUGUGUAUGAGAUUCUGGAAGCACAAUUUACUUCUGCUGUGCUGUGAGAUCCUUGGUAUGGUAUUGACUCAUUCAUUGGCACCUGAGAGAGGUUUGGGGAAUUCAGCAAGCUUUCAACAAUCCAGUUUGAGAGAUUAUACAGAAUUAUGGCUCAGUCAGGUUCGUCCUAAUUUUAUUAGAUUUCCACCAUUUCUAAUUGCAUAAACAUAUGCAGCCAAAUAUACAGAUGGGGACUGGGAAGAUGUACAAGGACACUCAGAGUCUGUAGUCAGCUAAUUGGUGGACUAAGUAAUAGGGCACUUGGAAAGAUUGAUUAUUUUUUUCAGAGCAUUUCAGGAGAAAAUUCUGUCCCCAUUAAAACUGUAGCAAUCAAGAGAAGAAAGAUUUUAGCAGUAGAUUUUUUUGGAAAUGGUGAAAGAGACAGGCAUAAAUAUGCGACGCAGAAAAAAUCCAAGAUGAAUGAUGUUAUUUUGGGCAAGAUCUGCUAUUUUAGCCAUAGGAAGAAAGAUAGAGUGUCUCGAAAACAUAGAACAACUGGCUUGAUCCAUAGGGUAACAUCAGAAAUCUUUUGAUCAGGGCUAAAUACAACAGUUUCAAAUAUUGCCUGGGCAAAUGAGAAGUCAUUUUGUAUGAAUAUUGUUACUGGUAGCAAAUGCCAGAUUGUAUAAAGUUUUCAGAAAUACUUUAUAUUUUCUUUUGGAAGAUAAAUGUUUAGCUAGGGCUAGGAAAGAUCUUGGGCCAUAACUCCCAUUUCUGGUCAAAUGAUACCAUCUGAGGUACUGGCAUGGCUGUUCAUAUGAGUACCUUCACAUAAAGUAACAUUGCUGUCCAUCCUUGUUCAGGAAUAAGCCAUGCUGUUGGCUUAUUCCCUACCAUCACAGCAGAAGGGGACGGGAGGGAAGUGUUUGCUCAGUUUUUUGUUAUGAACCAUCUUCAUCCAUGACACAGCAGCUGCACUAUGGAAUUCACCCUGGAUGAAUGGGAAUGCCAAUGUCUUCACCUCCUGAAGAGAGGACACAGCUCUCAGACUGAAUUAGCCACAGCUGGAUAGGUUGUUUUGAAAUCUCCACAAUUUUCAGACCUGGAAGAUUUUUCCAUCAUGCUGGCCUGGGGUAGGCAUUUGGUGGGUGAGUAAACUAUAAUUUGGUUUGUUUUGCCUUAUGAAGUAAGUGUAGAAAAUACACCAAAGUAGCUGGUCACAUAUUUGGACCUGGGCUUCUCACGAAAGUUCUGCAAAACCCUCUCAAAUGUCUGAAUAUUUACUAAGUAGGUCACGAAAUAUUUUCCAACAACAAAAAUACAAAUACAAAAAUACAAUAGAGUAAUCCUAUUGGGAUGUAGUUAUGUGCUAAUGACUUUAUUUUCUUCUUCCUCCUGUUCAGGCAGUAACAUGCAAAGUGACCACAGCACUGUUGUGAAAUUGCUGAUUAACCUUUUGACUCUGACAAUUGGGACUUCUCUUAACACCAAUUGGUAAUGCAAAAGACCAUUAGUAGUUAAUAUUGGGACACCCCACCUCCAGAUGCCAAAAGGUUAAUGAAAAAGCAAGUAUCUUGCUUUUACUGGGAAACUUGGAAACCUUCCCACCAAACAUUUCAUUUUUUGUGAUAAACAAGCCAGACCGCUUCAGCUGAGAAAGACGGGUGUUUUGCUAAUGUGUACAGCUGUUAAUUGAAAAAGAUUCUGUUAUGCCUGUUCUUCUGGACAUAGAUAAAAGAGAGAUUUGUUGGUGAACUUUAGUUGGUCCUGAACACCCCUUUGUCAAAAUACACUGCUCAAUAAUAACGCUUUGUUCUGUCUGUAACAGCCACGGAAGGAUUUUGAGUGGAAUACUCAUUUUCUUUAAGUCAUAUCUGCCAGUGAUCAUUCUUGGCUUAAGAUCAGCUGCCAUUUAUGUGUUUUAUGAAAAUAUAACACCAGUUUUAUGCUCAAAACUAUUCUUUUUUAGGUAAAAGCUUCAGCACAAACUGGUUCCCCAUAUGUACCAUAAAUGCUAUUUAUCACAGGUUUUGGUCUUUAAAACAGAAUGAUAAUGUUAAAACAUUUUCAUUACCCUUUCCUUACAGCUAUCAUUCACAAACCAUCUUUUAUAAUUAUGGUACUAGGACAUUUACAUAACUGGGAAAAAGGUCCUUAAACUACAUUUCUAUUAUGUUUGGCACUUGUGUGAAAGGAUAUUAUAUUCAUGUGCAUUAGAGAUUGCUUAUAAAAGAUCAAGACAAUAAUAGCAGAUCAGACGAUAAAGGUUCCCUUUUCUCCUCCCAGACAGGCUGUCUCUGACAGAAGAAUACAGUUCAUCAAAAGUGUCUGCAGGUUGUCAAACUCAGUGAGAUUUGGGGACACUCGGAGGCUGUCAUGGCCAACAAGAAGAUUUUCUGUAGGGUUCUGCCAUCAUUCACCCUCAGGAAAUAAUCACUCACUACAUUCUGCAUGCUCUCAUGAUAGAGCUCUAUUUGAGAGAAAAGAGCCAUUUUAUCAAAGGACAAUAUAUCCCUUCUCUUGGUCCAUGCAGCUUCCAUUAUCAGACCAUAAUAAAUCAUAUUUAUGUUCUCAGUUAAUAAGACUGAUUACAAUGCAGGUUACAGGCAUGGGAAAAGCAAAGCAGGUGAAAAGAUGUUUUAAUGAAAAUAUGAUAAGCAAACAGCUUCUUGUGAACAUUUCAGGCUGUUAUUUGUAAUGAUCACAGGCAAUUUUUGAUACAUCUUCUUUAGCAAUGGUUUAAGCUGCAUAAAUUGGCUUGCCACUUUAUACGUCGAAAUAGGAAGAAUCCCAGUGUCCUUCUUAUGUUGUCUAGAAUCAUUAUAUACAUUAUAAGCAUAAAAUGAGUUUAAUGUAUGUGCUUUGAAAAGAUGGGGAAAACAGAAAAUCAGGGAGGACUGAUUUUAAUGCUGCUCAAAAUGAUUUUGAAAUUUUCUGCACAUCUUUGUUACUAACGGUGCAUUUUCCAUGAAAUUUAGGGAUGACAUGUGGUGCUUUCAUCUCCUUAAAAUUAAUAUACUUCUCUUUCUGUUUUUCUCAGUUUCUUCAAAGUUCUUUUUAGAACACUGUGCAAAGAGACAGAGAGAAAAUUCUCCACUCGAUGUGUGAACAUAUCUGUUAUUAAUGCUGGGGGGGAGUUAAGUGUGUGCUUCUAGAGGAGAAUAUACCCCUGCGUUAAACACUGAAAUCAACCCUAUCAAAAAGGUGCAAGGAUAUUUAGCUGCAGCACACCUGAUGCAUUCAAGGGCCAAAUUCCUUAGAAUCUUUUAAAGUGAUCAAGAUCUCUUUUGUUAAGAGCGCUCCAAUGAUUUCAGAAUAUAACUGUACUUAAGUAGCCGAGGAAGUGUCUUGCUCUUGUCUCGUGAAAAGCUUUCUUUUAUGUUUUAUUGUUGUUUUCUUUUUUGCUGUAGUCAUUUGGUUUAUGUUUAGCAUCAUACUUUCAAGACAAAGUUAAAAAUUUAAAGAAUAAUUUCUUCCUGCUAGCAGAUAAUGCUGACUAAGUAUUUCAAAAUCUACAGCACUUGCAGAAUGCAAGCAUUAUGCUUAAAAUGUAUAUAAUGAUUCCAGACAAUAUGAGAAGGACACUGGGAUUCUUCCUACUUUGAUAUAUAAAGUGGUGAGCAAACGCAGAAGUCUCCAUGGUGUUGUGUGUCUGUAGGAGCUGUUCUGGUCACUGAUACUUCUAAAGCUCCCUUAAACAAAUGUUAAAGCUUUGUAAUGGGCCUGGCAAUGGAGAAUGACCAUGAAAUUCCCUUAACCCUUUUAGGGCACUUCAGCAGGAGAAGUGAUCACACAAGAAACAGUAAACUGCGCUUCAAAGGCAGCAUCCUGAUAUGACAACAGAUGUAGAUAAUGCACUUCAUGAUGAAACUGCUUGAUACAGAGAAAAACACGUUGUAACUGCCUUCACCCUGAAAGGGGUUUAAAAAUGCUGCCUGCCAACUCCACAAAAAACAGAGCUGCUAUUUCAGUUAAAGGCCAGUGGAUUGUAUUUUUCGUGUCAGUUUUCACUAACCUCAAACAUCACUGUUAUGACAGACUGUCAUCCAACCAAGCCAGCACUGUGGUGCCAUUCAGGCAAGAAAGAAGAAAGCAAACACAAAGGAAACUUAGAAGUCCGAGCAGUAAGAGCGGGUGUCUGUGAGUGCACUUUUGUGCAGCGAUACUGAUUACUGAAAAUGAAACACUUAAAAGAAAACAAACCCAAAAAAGUGAUUUCUGAGCCAUUGGUGUUUUCUUGCCUGGCAAUUUCUCUUUGUUCUGUUUCAUGACAUCAGCCUCAGUGGUUGAAAGGGUGUUCUGGGCCAGAUGUCAAUCACUAUGUCUGACAUAAACAAAAAUAGCUAAAAAGACAUGCCAGCAUCUUCCUUUUGUUUUCCCAUUAGCUCCAUUUUUCUUUUCAGAGGCUGACAAAAAAUUACUGCCUCCGAGUGAAUUCAGUAAUGUCACUAUAUAUCUAAUAUCUAGGAGACCUUUUGUUUUAGCUUUACUGGGCUUAACCACAAAAGACACUUGACAUUGACAAAGAGUCUGUCAAAUACACAAUGAUCAGUGCAGUGAAAUCUCUCAUGACAGAAGGGCACUAUUCUGCACCCCCAGCCUGCAGCAGCCUAUCUGAGUAAAAUGUGCUGGAGCACAUGCAGCAGCUGAACCAUUGCAGAGCAGGCCAUAAGCUGAGAUGUGUCUUGUUUAAAGUGUCAUAGUAUAUUAGUGUAAUUAAAACCGCCAAAAGAAUAGAAAAGAUAGAUGGAAAUGUUACAUUACUUGUUUCUAGAGAUUAACCUCCAGCCAGAACUGAAAUACAGGGACACAUUUUGCAUGUCUUAGAGCUCUGAUAUGGAAGAAAACAAGCCUGAGUGUAUGUCUCUUGAAGUGUGAGACAUGAAGUCAUAGUUCCUGUAUUUACACAAUAAAGCAGAAACAGCGCUUCAGACAGGCACGCUGUUUUCUCUCUGAUUACAGCUCCCGUUGUGGCUGUACUCUGCAAAGCAGCUGUAUCAUCUCUCAGCUACUUCCCUUUUACUCUCACUGCCUUCGUGCUUGGAAGGUCUUGAGGACCCUUGGGCCAACAGAUGUGCUGGUGUCAAUGCCUUCUGCUCCCUUGGCAUCUGCCAGCAUUGCGUGGGCCCAGCCUAGAGGCAGAGCACCCUGUCCCUGUGGUGUCUGCAGAAGACACAGCUCAGCUCCAGACUCAGCAACACCCAGCUAGGAAGAUGUUUGAAGAAUGGCUUCAGUCUGACCUUUAUAUACCAGGCUGCAUGCUUGCUUCUCUGUUGACUCUAUAGAUAAAACUGCAUGGCUUUCUGAAAUUGACUCUGAAAAUUAUGUUCCCAGAACUGCAUGUUUUCCUUCCCAUGCCUCAUUACCUGUGAUAACUAUUCAAGCCUAACUAGUUACGAUCUCUGUUCUAACCAUGAGGCAAGUUAUAUCUGGUGGUGAAAAACCCUUGGAGUUUUUAUGGACCUGUUCAGCUGUGUUGGCUGAACGUUGGUUUAUCCAGUAUCUGGAGAGGACCUCAUCUGGCUUCAGCAGUUCUGAAGCAUACAAAAGCAGCGUGGUUUUCUUCUAAUGUAAGCCUUACAUUCAAGGAGAAGAUGCAUUAAUCAGGUAGGUCUCAUGUUCAUUUCUUCCACUAGAAAUGAACUUCAAGGCCUUGCUCCAUUAGUUGAUCACUUUGACGUCAAGAGAUGUUAAAUAUAGGCCUUACAUUUUAGGUUUCCUCAUACUUCCUCUAUUUCCCAUCUUUAAAUAUCAGUUAAUGACUUCUCCAUAUAGCACUUCUCUUUAAUUUCUGGUCAGAGGCUGUAAAUGUGCACCGUUAGUCAAAAAUAUGUUAUCUGCUGUUAGUGUUGGCUUCUGGAGCCCUCACCACCAAGUUACCUCGCAGUCGCAUCUCUCCUCACAUGAUUUUCUGAGUACUGCCAGGAGAAGAAUGGAAAAUAACUAUGAAAUAAAAGCAGAUUCUGCUCCCAUUACAGGCAAUGAAAACUGUGCUUUUACUUCUACUUACUCAUAAUAGUGGGGGGAAAAAAUGAAGUGGAAACAAGCACAACAAAACACCUCUGCCAGCUAUCUAUAAGCUAACCAAGGCUUCCACUAAUGAGGUGGUCUGGCAUUUUGAGAAAGACAGGUUUUUCCAGAAAUGGAAAAAAUAUGCUGUUUUUUUUUUUUCCUUCAACUCUGAGAGCAUAGCAAGAGAGUAAGAAAUUGUAUUUCAAAAAGGGAUAGCAAACUUUUAAUGCUGUCUGUAUUAGUUAAUACUUACAGACACCGGUACAGUUUCUUGUCAGCUAGAUGUUUUUGCAUAUUUGUUUGUUAGAUUACUAAAUACUUUCCUAAAAAGUGGUUAUUUGCUGUAUUUACAGAUUCAUCUCAGUGACUGUGAAAUUCCUGAGGAUGUUAUUACUUUCAAGUCAGAUUAACGGAGUAAUUUCCAGUUACCACCUGUGAAGAGAUUCCUACCUAUCCUGGCAGGCAAUUGUUCAGUCUUAUUGAGCUUCAAAUAACUUUACAGCUUGAAAUUCUGAACAACCAUGCUACCAGAAUACAUGAUACUACUCUUAAAGUGGACCUCAAAAACUUUGAGAAAGAAAAUGAUUCCAUCUUUUUUGAUCAGGUUCUUCCUCUACAGGAGUUCCUGCAGCUACAGGACCAGGAGAUGUCCGAGGUCAAGAAAAGGUUAAAGUUGUUCACUGCUUUCAAGCUCUGGCCUUAGAAGUUAAUUCAGUGCUGUGCUGCGAGAGCUACAGAGUAAAUCCUUGGAACAGUGAAUUGCUGGUUUGAUAUCAAGCUCACGUCAACAUUUCUAUCAGAAAGAAUCACCAUAAUCACCAGAUAUAUUAGCAGAAACUGCUCCUUCCCAUUGACCACAUACGCCAAAAUCCUUGGAAACUCUUAAGCCGUGGACUUCCCCUGAAGACAUACAGAGAAAAUGGCUCAAGCGAACACUCCUCCAUUCCUUCAGUGGAGCCCAGGUCAGCUGUGACAAGCAUCUGCUCUGUGGGUAGGUGCAAAAUACACGACAAAGAUAUCGGCCGUGGAUCCCUUCUGUAAACGAUGACCUCAUCCGGAGGUUAUGGGACCUUCACGAGGAUACCAGUCGUACUCCUCCAUGGCGAUGUGUUACAGUAAGUAACUCGCUUCCUGGAUGCACUUGUAACAGGCAGAUAUCCUAACAACACAGGAUACGCAGACAUGUCCAGGUCUUUAAGAAGUCUUCCAAUGCAAUUAUUAAGGUAUUACGUGCUGAUAACACCACCAAAAACAUUGAGCAUGCUGUUCAUUCAGUUGGGCAUGAAACUACUUCCUUCUGAAUAUUUUAAAUGUACUUGGCUAAUUAAUUAAACAAUUAAUAAGGGCUACAGUUAAGUUUCUGUUUUUCAUUGUAACAAAUUAUUCCAGAG